RNAcentral lists this unclassified non-coding RNA (348 nucleotides) under soil metagenome. RNAcentral's name for it is "partial contains 5.8S ribosomal RNA, internal transcribed spacer 2, and large subunit ribosomal RNA". The stretch from base 1 to 120 matches the Rfam family "5.8S ribosomal RNA", at positions 35 to 154 of the family's 154-position model. The record is from RNAcentral.
GAUGAAGAACGUAGCGAAAUGCGAAAAGUAAUGUGAAUUGCAGAAUUCAGUGAACCAUCGAAUCUUUGAACGCACAUUGCGCCCGCUGGAACUCCGGCGGGCACGCCUGUCCGAGCGUCAUUUCAACCCUCAGGCCCCCCUUCGCGGGCGGGCCUGGUGUUGGGGCCCGGCCGCUACCCUGCGGCCGUCCCCUAAAUCCAGUGGCGGCCUCGCCGUGAUCCCUUGCGUAGUAAUGCACCUCGCACCGGAGAGCGCCGUGGCCACGCCUUAAAACCCCCAAUUUUCAAUGGUUGACCUCGGAUCAGGUGGGAAUACCCGCUGAACUUAAGCAUAUCAAUAAGCGGAGGA